RNAcentral lists this ribosomal RNA (503 nucleotides) under Kamoharaia megastoma. Its description in RNAcentral is "partial 16S ribosomal RNA". It matches the Rfam family "Bacterial large subunit ribosomal RNA", at positions 1963 to 2591 of the family's 2925-position model. Lineage: Eukaryota; Metazoa; Chordata; Actinopteri; Pleuronectiformes; Bothidae. The record is from RNAcentral.
AAUCACUUGUCUUUUAAAUGAAGACCUGUAUGAAAGGUAUCACGAGGGCUUAACUGUCUCCUUUUUCCGGUCAAUGAAAUUGAUCUCCCCGUGCGGAAGCGGGGAUUAAGCCAUAAGACGAGAAGACCCUGUGGAGCUUGAGACGUUAAGACAGCCCACGUCCACAACCCGCCCAUGGGAAUGAACUGAGUGGUCACUGCCCGAAUGUCUUCGGUUGGGGCGACCAUGGGGAAAGCAAAACCCCCACGUGGAAAGGGAGCACCAGAAGGAUACCCCGCGACCAUACAACCAGACUCCUGAGAACUAGAGCCCCGCUCUACUUAAACGAAAUAUUCGACCUAGACUGAUCCGGCAUCGCCGAUCAACGGAACAAGUUACCCCAGGGAUAACAGCGCUAUCCCCUUCCAGAGCCCAUAUCGACAAGGGGGUUUACGACCUCGAUGUUGGAUCAGGGCAUCCUAAUGGUGCAACCGCUAUUAAGGGUUCGUUUGUUCAACGAUUAA